RNAcentral lists this ribosomal RNA (329 nucleotides) under uncultured Thelephoraceae. RNAcentral's name for it is "eukaryotic LSU rRNA". It matches the Rfam family "Eukaryotic large subunit ribosomal RNA", at positions 1 to 321 of the family's 3401-position model. The record is from RNAcentral. Lineage: Eukaryota; Fungi; Basidiomycota; Agaricomycetes; Thelephorales; Thelephoraceae.
UCGAUCUCAAAUCAGGUAGGAUUACCCGCUGAACUUAAGCAUAUCAAUAAGCGGAGGAAAAGAAACUAACAAGGAUUCCCCUAGUAACUGCGAGUGAAGCGGGAAGAGCUCAAAUUUAAAAUCUGGCAUGCCUCUGGCUGUCCGAGUUGUAGUCUGAAGAAGCGUUUUCCGUGUUGGACCGUGUAUAAGUCUCUUGGAACAGGGCGUCAUAGAGGGUGAGAAUCCCGUCUUUGACACGGACUACCAAUGCUUUGUGAUGCGCUCUCAAAGAGUCGAGUUGUUUGGGAAUGCAGCUCAAAAUGGGUGGUAAAUUCCAUCUAAAGCUAAAU